RNAcentral lists this ribosomal RNA (492 nucleotides) under uncultured bacterium. Its description in RNAcentral is "partial 16S ribosomal RNA". It matches the Rfam family "Bacterial small subunit ribosomal RNA", at positions 29 to 507 of the family's 1533-position model. The record is from RNAcentral.
AGUGAACGCUGGCGGUAGGCCUAACACAUGCAAGUCGAACGGCAGCACAGUAAGAGCUUGCUCUUAAGGGUGGCGAGUGGCGGACGGGUGAGGAAUACAUCGGAAUCUACUUUUUCGUGGGGGAUAACGUAGGGAAACUUACGCUAAUACCGCAUACGACCUACGGGUGAAAGCAGGGGAUCUUCGGACCUUGCGCGAUUGAAUGAGCCGAUGUCGGAUUAGCUAGUUGGCGGGGUAAAGGCCCACCAAGGCGACGAUCCGUAGCUGGUCUGAGAGGAUGAUCAGCCACACUGGAACUGAGACACGGUCCAGACUCCUACGGUAGGCAGCAGUGGGGAAUAUUGGACAAUGGGCGCAAGCCUGAUCCAGCCAUACCGCGUGGGUGAAGAAGGCCUUCGGGUUGUAAAGCCCUUUUGUUGGGAAAGAAAAGCAGCAGGUUAAUACCCCGCUGUUCUGACGGUACCCAAAGAAUAAGCACCGGCUAACUUCGUG